GUUCUCCUCCUCAUCCGCAGCCCCCUCUAUCAUCAUCUCCCACAAAUCGCAGCCACCGACCAACUCCUAACUCCCAUACCUCGGCGCCGGACCUCCCCUUCCCCUCCUCUUACCUCGCAGCUUCGGCAGCUGCCAGAUCUGCCGAAUCCCCCACCGAUCCAUCCCUAUAGCAGCACAUCUCUCCCUCUCUCGUGUGACCCCUCGUGCCGCGGCCAACGCCGGCCAAUUUCGCCAACGUCCACCACUGCGCAGCAGACACACGAACUGCUCUCCGACCCCUCCGUCCGCCAAGAUGGUUGGAUCCGCCGCUCCCGGUCACCGGCGCUCGCCCUGCAACACCUCGCCUGUGGCUGGGGUUACAGCCAUGGCGUCGCGUACAUCACGGGCGUGUCUCCGGUGGCGACUCUCCGUCGGAAAAAGUGCCCGCUCACGCCCUCUCCACCUCUUGGAUGGCGCUCCCUAGCUCGGCGCGCUCGCGGGCGUUGGACUGGACGCCGGCGACGCAUCCUCCUCUAUCACGUCUCCGGCGCAGCUAUGCACAUGUGGCGACCUCCUCUGCCUCGCGAAGGCGGUGGCCAACCUUCGCUGCGAGCACUGCAUCGCCUACAAACCGAGCAGAACAUGGGUGUUCUGGAGCAGAUGCUACUUGGUAGAAUAAGCAUAGGCGCCAUGAAAGGGGAUGAAUAAGAGUUCUUGCACAUAACAUGUUUGAUGAAAUACAGGCACCACAAAUUGAACUCAUCUCCAAGCUAUGCUUUAUGAGAGGCUACAGAUUGUUACAUUAUUUUGUCAAGUCCAUGAGGCAAGAUUCAUUCAUUUAUGAUUGUUGCAAUAACGAUUAUUGGCCAAAAGCAUGGUUGUGUGUGGUUCCUGCUGCUGUACUGUGGUAUUGGUUUUCUUCCGCCUGCCUAAUGUGGUGAUGCUUUGGUGUGCCUAUUGUUCGCAGAGAUUAACCCAUAUUUGGGAGAUGUGGUGGCCUGGGAGCAAGGAAUUUUACGUGUGAUAGAAACAGAACAAGAUGAAGGAGCUUAAGUAUAGCCACAUCAGGGCGACCUGGGAGCAAGGAAGUUUACGUGUGAUAGGAGAUGAUCGCCAUAAUCUGGGUGCUAAAGGCCUUUGGAAACAGAACAAGAUGACGGAGCUUAAGUACAGCCACAUCAGGGCGACCUGGGUGCAAGGAAUUUUACAUGUGAUAGGAGAUGAUCGCCAUAAUCUGAGUGCCAAAGGCCUAGGGGAUUAUAACAUGGUUUUUUUAUAGAAAGGAUGCUCAUGCCGUAGCUUACAGUACCAGGCAACAAUCUUCUGUUGAUUACAGUGCCAAAAACUCCAGCAGGCCGCGAGACUCCUACGCCGCUGGUGCCUGUCAACGUCGCUGCCGAUGCCCUGCAUCCGAUUGGCUGCCAAGGAAUCCACCAACCCGUCCCAAUACAGGUCUAUAUCCCACAUCAUGAGCUCCUCGAAGGUGAGCAGCUGGCCCAGCCUCGCCAUGUAGCACACAGUCUUGGUAGUGGAGAUGUUGUCAUUGUCAUAGCGGUCGAAGGUGUGGAGCAUAGGGCGUGAGCACCAACAUGAUGGUGUGCGCCAGCUCGUCGAACUCGGAGGCCCGCUGACAUUUGCAUCGAUGGCCAGCAGCAGAAGGACUCCUCACCCAGCGGUUGCAAGCUUAGGGGGUGGAGCGGGGCAUCGAGCUUGAGGUCUGCUGGCUCUUGUCAUGCCAUCACUGACUUAGACCAGAAGAGUUCUGUCAUGUUCGGUGUCACGCCCUCCAUAGCCUGCGAUGGUGAUCACGAUGCCCCUGCAGAACGACGCGCCGACGCCUGUCGCUGCCCUGCAUCCUGCUCCGUGUUGUCACCAGUGCUGCCACCCUACUCUGCGUUGUGCCCUCGAUAGGCGCCAUCCUUGGACGCCAUCUCUUCCAACCUCUUCUUCCCUUCCGGAUUGAUACCAGCCCCUACCUUAAAAAAUGAUCCGUGUUGUUGGCACCAUUCCAAACUGAAAUCAAUUACAUACGCAAGGCAGUUCUAGAUGUCUGCAAGUUUGUGAUCUGCAAAUAUUAUAGUCAAAAGGAUUUCAAUUGUGAUAGGCCGUAGCUUCACUUUACAUCCUCAGGCUCUGUAGCUGGAUCAGGUGAAUCUGUUUUGUCGUGUGAAUACCAGUAAAGUGAAACAGAAGCAGCACACAGGCGCGUCUUCUUGCUUUUUUUACUUGCCAUAGCUGGAUCAGUAGCUUGAACGCACAACAAUCUAGCCUAUUCUUGUCCCCCAUGACAUCUCUUCUUAAUUUGGUAGAUCAUGUUUUUGCAAGAUGACAACACCAUAUGUGUAGCUGGAUCAUUAGCUUGAACGCAAAGCAAUCUAGCCUAUUCUUUUCCCCCAUGAUAUCUCUUCUUAAUUUGGUAGAUCAUGUUUUUGCAAGAUGACAGCACCAUAUGUGUAGUUGCUGACUGUGUUUAUAUCGCAAAAAUAUUAUGGUUUCAAGCA
Molecule: non-coding RNA, 2480 nt
Organism: Aegilops tauschii subsp. strangulata
Lineage: Eukaryota; Viridiplantae; Streptophyta; Magnoliopsida; Poales; Poaceae
Source: RefSeq, a predicted model, not a curated record